CAGUCAUGCUAAUAGGGGAUCAACUUGAUGGGUCGUUCCCCCGGGAGCAAUCUUUCUUGUGCACUUCCUUGUUCGGCAGGUUAGCAUCAAUUUCGGUUGUCAUCAAAAAAUUGGGGGAAUGUGACUUCUUUCGGGAAGUGUUAUAGACCUCGAUAUAUGUGGUGAUCGGGAUUGAGGAUUGCAGCGGAUGCUUUUGGGCUAGUCACCUACCUUCUGACGGCUACCCCGCUUUCGAUAGCUUGCUAACGACUGUGGGAUUCAACAGUCUAGAUGUUGGAGUGAUCUUAUA
This 289-nucleotide ribosomal RNA is filed under the name uncultured Glomeromycotina. RNAcentral describes it as "partial large subunit ribosomal RNA". Lineage: Eukaryota; Fungi; Glomeromycota. The record is from RNAcentral.